This 349-nucleotide ribosomal RNA is filed under the name Eutreptiella gymnastica. RNAcentral describes it as "partial Bacterial large subunit ribosomal RNA". It matches the Rfam family "Bacterial large subunit ribosomal RNA", at positions 373 to 725 of the family's 2925-position model. Lineage: Eukaryota; Euglenozoa; Euglenophyceae; Eutreptiales; Eutreptiaceae. The record is from RNAcentral.
CGGUAUAGGUAAAGACAGUUACAGAUAGUAGUAUCCUGAGUAGUGCGGGGCACGUGAAACCCUGUAUGAAUUUGGCGGGACCAUCCGUUAAGGCUAAAUACUCCUGAGAGACCGAUAGUGAACCAGUACCGUGAGGGAAAGGCGAAAAGAACCCCUGUGAGGGGAGUGAAAUAGAACCUGAAACCGUAUACGUACAAGCAGUGGGAGCAGACUUGUUCUGUGACUGCGUACCUUUUGUAUAAUGGGUCAGCGACUUAAUUUAUGUAGCGAGCUUAACCGAAUAGGGGAGGCGAAGGGAAACCGAGUCUUAAUAGGGCGAUUAGUUGCAUGGAUUAGACCCGAAACCUGG